AACGACUCUCGGCAACGGAUA
This 21-nucleotide non-coding RNA is filed under the name Arabidopsis thaliana (thale cress). Lineage: Eukaryota; Viridiplantae; Streptophyta; Magnoliopsida; Brassicales; Brassicaceae. The record is from RNAcentral.